RNAcentral lists this transfer RNA (72 nucleotides) under Ictidomys tridecemlineatus (thirteen-lined ground squirrel). RNAcentral's name for it is "Spermophilus tridecemlineatus (thirteen-lined ground squirrel) tRNA". It matches the Rfam family "tRNA". Rfam says of the family: Transfer RNA (tRNA) molecules are approximately 80 nucleotides in length. Their secondary structure includes four short double-helical elements and three loops (D, anti-codon, and T loops). Lineage: Eukaryota; Metazoa; Chordata; Mammalia; Rodentia; Sciuridae. The record is from Rfam by way of RNAcentral.
AGAGUUGUGGCUCAGUGUUAGAGCGCUCACCUAGCAAGUGUGAAGCCCUGGGUUCAAUUCUCAGCACCACAU